RNAcentral lists this non-coding RNA (182 nucleotides) under Bacillota bacterium. RNAcentral describes it as "Firmicutes bacterium (anaerobic digester metagenome) 6S RNA". It matches the Rfam family "6S / SsrS RNA". From Rfam's summary of the family: E. coli 6S RNA was the first non coding RNA to be sequenced, but its function was unknown until recently. Lineage: Bacteria; Bacillati; Bacillota. The record is from RNAcentral.
AAAGCCCUGCUGUGCUCGUGUAAACCGGUUAAGUUUUGAGCUAACACACAUUUAAAGGGAGCCCGGGCUUUAGCUGUAGCGUAGAAGCCUCCUUCGAGAGGACCUACAAAGCAGCUAAGAGGGCACCCACCUUUAGGGGGAAGGGUUCAAAACCCAACGGUCCACGGCAUGGCGGGGUUUUU